UACGGAGGGUGCAAACGUUGCUCGGAAUCAUUGGGCGUAAAGCGCACGUAGGCGGCCUGAUAAGUCGGGUGUGAAAGCCCUGGGCUCAACCCAGGAAGUGCACUCGAAACUGUCAGGCUUGAAUAUGGAAGAGGGUCGCGGAAUUCCCGGUGUAGAGGUGAAAUUCGUAGAUAUUGGGAAGAACACCGGUGGCGAAGGCGGCUCACUGGCUCGUAACUGACGCUCAUGCACGACAGCGUGGGGAUCAAACAGG
This 253-nucleotide ribosomal RNA is filed under the name uncultured bacterium. RNAcentral's name for it is "partial 16S ribosomal RNA". It matches the Rfam family "Bacterial small subunit ribosomal RNA", at positions 524 to 776 of the family's 1533-position model. The record is from RNAcentral.